Lynx canadensis (Canada lynx) is the source of this 415-nucleotide long non-coding RNA. RefSeq lists it as uncharacterized. The record is from RefSeq and is a predicted model, not a curated record. The transcript has 3 exons. Lineage: Eukaryota; Metazoa; Chordata; Mammalia; Carnivora; Felidae.
GCAGCACUUACCCCGAACGGUGAGAGUGACCCCAUCGAGCUCCUUCCCCGGAAACUACGCUCAACACCUCAGCAACAAGCCGCCAGAGCUUUGGACUGGUCCUUACCAGUGGUGUGGAUGGGACACGACGCACGCAGGCUCAUCGCAGUGGCACAGAGCCAUGUGCCGUCAAGUUCAGAGCCAGCAUGGGGCAGAGUCGCCACAUGGAAAUGGCAAGGCCCCAGAGCUGGAGCCACCUACAGCCUGGGAUUGAGCCUCCGCGGAGGGCUAUCAGCACUGGAGUCACGGGCAAAGGAUCCCAAAGAGAAUGGCUGUGAAAAAUACGAGAUCGAAAUUGACUGCCUUGAAGCUAUGCAUUUCAGACAUCACAGACUGGGGCUGAGCUCUCUCUGGAGGAUAGAUGGAUAUGAAAUUU